Molecule: ribosomal RNA, 1343 nt
Filed under: uncultured bacterium
Lineage: Bacteria
Description: 16S ribosomal RNA
Rfam family: Bacterial small subunit ribosomal RNA
Source: RNAcentral
GACGAACGCUGGCGGCGUGCUUAACACAUGCAAGUCGAACGGAAAGGCCCUGCUUUUGUGGGGUGCUCGAGUGGCGAGCGGGUGAGUAACACGUGAGUAACCUGCCCUUGACUUUGGGAUAACUUCAGGAAACUGGGGCUAAUACCGGAUAGGAGCUCCUGCUGCAUGGUGGGGGUUGGAAAGUUUCGGCGGUUGGGGAUGGACUCGCGGCUUAUCAGCUUGUUGGUGGGGUAGUGGCUUACCAAGGCUUUGACGGGUAGCCGGCCUGAGAGGGUGACCGGCCACAUUGGGACUGAGAUACGGCCCAGACUCCUACGGGAGGCAGCAGUGGGGAAUAUUGCACAAUGGGCGGAAGCCUGAUGCAGCAACGCCGCGUGCGGGAUGACGGCCUUCGGGUUGUAAACCGCUUUCGCCUGUGACGAAGCGUGAGUGACGGUAAUGGGUAAAGAAGCACCGGCUAACUACGUGCCAGCAGCCGCGGUGAUACGUAGGGUGCGAGCGUUGUCCGGAUUUAUUGGGCGUAAAGGGCUCGUAGGUGGUUGAUCGCGUCGGAAGUGUAAUCUUGGGGCUUAACCCUGAGCGUGCUUUCGAUACGGGUUGACUUGAGGAAGGUAGGGGAGAAUGGAAUUCCUGGUGGAGCGGUGGAAUGCGCAGAUAUCAGGAGGAACACCAGUGGCGAAGGCGGUUCUCUGGGCCUUUCCUGACGCUGAGGAGCGAAAGCGUGGGGAGCGAACAGGCUUAGAUACCCUGGUAGUCCACGCUGUAAACGGUGGGUACUAGGUGUGGGGUCCAUUCCACGGGUUCCGUGCCGUAGCUAACGCUUUAAGUACCCCGCCUGGGGAGUACGGCCGCAAGGCUAAAACUCAAAGGAAUUGACGGGGCCCCGCACAAGCGGCGGAGCAUGCGGAUUAAUUCGAUGCAACGCGUAGAACCUUACCUGGGUUUGACAUGGAUCGGGAGUGCUCAGAGAUGGGUGUGCCUCUUUUGGGGUCGGUUCACAGGUGGUGCAUGCCUGUCGUCAGCUCGUGUCGUGAGAUGUUGGGUUAAGUCCCGCAACGAGCGCAACCCUUGUUCACUGUUGCCAGCACGUUAUGGUGGGGACUCAGUGGAGACCGCCGGGGUCAACUCGGAGGAAGGUGGGGAUGACGUCAAGUCCUCAUGCCCCUUAUGUCCAGGGCUUCACGCAUGCUACAAUGGCUGGUACAGAGAGUGGCGAGCCUGUGAGGGUGAGCGAAUCUCGGAAAGCCGGUCUCAGUUCGGAUUGGGGUCUGCAACUCGACCUCAUGAAGUCGGAGUCGCUAGUAAUCGCAGAUCAGCAACGCUGCGGUGAAUACGUUCCCGGG